Long non-coding RNA from Homo sapiens (human), 1120 nucleotides. Ensembl annotates it as MIR4435-2 host gene. The record is from Ensembl. NCBI's taxonomy places the organism in Eukaryota, Metazoa, Chordata, Mammalia, Primates, Hominidae.
GAGAAUGGCUUUUUUUCCCCUUCAGUGUAGUGCCCUUGAGAUCCAUCCAAGUUGUUCUUCUGAGCUAUGAAGGGGCCCAGAUUUAAGGGCUAUUUUUGACACCCUAAAUGUGCUGAGACAAGUCAUUAAGGUGGUCCUGCCAGGACACAGCCAUCUAAAGCAGCAAUCUGCUUCUUGCCAGAAAAUCUCGUGCCUCUGCAGAGCCUUUUCCAGAAUGAACCACACCAUGCUGAGGAAAGGAGAAAGAGACUACCUACUGCAUUUCUGUCACUCGCUGAAAAGGACACUCUGUCAGAAAAUCUUCUAGCAAACUUCAAAGGGCAAAAUCACCCCUUGUUACUGAUAAAGCCCAGAGAGCUUCAGCAGCUAACAUUCCCUGGACAGGGCACAGCAAGGAUUUGAACCUAGGUCAGUCUGGCCAGAACACCCACAAGCUUUCCUUAACUCAGUGUGCUAUCUCCCCACGACUAGGUCACUACUGCUUUAUAAUCACCUUUGUAGCCACCAGUGGAUUUUGCUCAUCAGUAUUUUUCAGGCAAUUGAUACUUUAGAUAUUCAGCUGCAAGACGUAUGCAGUUUUCAUUGACAUCUUUUGGAGAAACUGACAAACCUGGACUUGACUUAAUGCCUUUGGAACCUUCCAAGAUGUUAUAUAACUCUAGAUAGAAGGCUGGGCCUCCAUGAUGUCAGGAAUGUUGCAUUCUUAUUUCCCCAUAGAUAAACCCAUUUGUCCACAAAGUCAAGGAGUCAGGCAGAGGCCCUUGCCAUGGGGCUUUUUAGGAUAAAGCAACAAGCCUGGACUUUGCUCUACAACAGGGUUUUGCAUAGGGAGUGGUAUGACCAGAUCCCUCAAGAAAGAAAGCUUAGAGACCAGGCCAGAGUCCACUGCAGUAGCCCAGUCAAGAGAGGAUGGUGACUUGGACUUGUAGUAGAGCCAGUUAGAAUGAAAGAAAUUGACACAUUCAGAAAUGGUUUUAGAGAUAGAGUCAAACUGGACCUGAUAAAGAACUAGAGAAGCGGAGUGAGGAUAAAGAGAAGAGCCAUGACUGACUCGGAAGAUUUUGUCUUGAAAAACUUGAGAACUCAAGACAGAGUGAAAUAAAAUCACAUGUGGGAAAAA